Molecule: ribosomal RNA, 228 nt
Filed under: uncultured fungus
Lineage: Eukaryota; Fungi
Description: partial 18S ribosomal RNA
Rfam family: Eukaryotic small subunit ribosomal RNA
Source: RNAcentral
ACUAGGGAUCGGACAAGCACUUCUAAUGACUUGUUCGGCACCUGAAGAGAAAUCUUUAAGUCUAGGUUCGGGGGGGAGUAUGGUCGCAAGGCUGAAACUUAAAGGAAUUGACGGAAGGGCACCACCAGGUGUGGAGCCUGCGGCUUAAUUUGACUCAACACGGGGAAACUCACCAGGUCCAGACACAAUAAGGAUUGACAGAUUGAUAGCUCUUUCUUGAUCUUGUGG